Molecule: long non-coding RNA, 201 nt
Filed under: Vicia faba (fava bean)
Lineage: Eukaryota; Viridiplantae; Streptophyta; Magnoliopsida; Fabales; Fabaceae
Source: RNAcentral
AUGGAGUGUAUGGUUGGUGUUGAUUACAGAAGAAUCCCCCAAAUCCAGAGGCGUGUUUUAACGUGUAUCCAAACGGAACUUGAAGGUGCAUAUGGAGUAGACCUGAUACAUGUGAGGCAAUUAUUUGAAGAAUGUAGCAGGUUGGUUCUUUUAGGGCAUAAUGGAGAGAAUGAUUUAGAAGAUUCGGACACGUUGGUGUAA